Long non-coding RNA from Neodiprion virginianus, 514 nucleotides. RefSeq lists it as uncharacterized. Lineage: Eukaryota; Metazoa; Arthropoda; Insecta; Hymenoptera; Diprionidae. The transcript is spliced from 3 exons. The record is from RefSeq and is a predicted model, not a curated record.
GAAUCAAACGUUAUUAAAAAAUUACAAUCCUCAACUGCCUAUCGUGAUGUAUUAUAGAAACGAAAAAUGAUCCUAUAAACGCUCUGUUCGUUACUGAUCGUGAAAUUGUUCCAGGCUGUUGCGCUGACUGAAUUAAGCGCUGCAAUACGCCUCUUGGAUGUCAUGGCGAAACGACGGCAACGCUAUCUGUCGGUUAACGGCGGCAACUCGAGGACGUUGUUUUAAAUUAUUGUUUUAUUCAGUGCAAUAUGAAAUUAAAAGUGAUAUUAUGAGCCACACUAUCGUCAAAUGUGGAUUUCAGAAUAUCCACGCAGAAUUCUUUCGCGGAAAAUCUGUGUCGAAAGGGUAUAAACUAUUCCAAAGCCAUCAUGUUCAGUAGGUCGUCGAAAUUGAUGAUGAAGCUAGUGGAGAACGAAUCGUCCGUGGGAAAGUAAUACCACGGACGAGAGUACAUAAUCCGCCGUACGAAGUGAAAUUAGAGGAACUUUGCAUCUAUACAUGCAAAACAGAAAUG